UCCAGAGUGGUACAGUGGUUUGAGCUCUGGACUAUGACUCUGGAUACCUAGGUUCAAAUCCCUGCUAGGUCA
Non-coding RNA from Phrynosoma platyrhinos (Desert horned lizard), 72 nucleotides. Lineage: Eukaryota; Metazoa; Chordata; Lepidosauria; Squamata; Phrynosomatidae. The record is from the annotation of a GenBank genome assembly.